RNAcentral lists this ribosomal RNA (814 nucleotides) under uncultured archaeon. RNAcentral describes it as "bacterial SSU rRNA". It matches the Rfam family "Archaeal small subunit ribosomal RNA", at positions 107 to 922 of the family's 1478-position model. The record is from RNAcentral.
ACCUGCCCUUAGGUUGGGUAUAAACCCGGGAAACUGGGUAUAAUACCCGAUAGGUCUCGAUUGCUGGAAUGCAUCGAGAUUUAAAGCUCCGGCGCCUAAGGAUGGGUCUGCGGCCUAUCAGGUAGUAGUGGGUGUAGCGUACCUACUAGCCUACGACGGGUACGGGUUGUGAGAGCAAGAGCCCGGAGAUGGAUUCUGAGACACGAAUCCAGGCCCUACGGGGUGCAGCAGGCGCGAAAACUUUACAAUGCUGGCAACAGCGAUAAGGGAACCUCGAGUGCCAGGUUACAAAUCUGGCUGUCGAGAUGCCUAAAAAGCAUUUCAUAGCAAGGGCCGGGCAAGACCGGUGCCAGCCGCCGCGGUAACACCGGCGGCUCGAGUGGUAACCGUUAUUAUUGGGUCUAAAGGGUCUGUAGCCGGCCGGAUAAGUCUCUUGAGAAAUCUGGCAGCUUAACUGUCAGGCUUUCAGGAGAUACUGUCUGGCUCGAGGCCGGGAGAGGUGAGAGGUACUUCAGGGGUAGGGGUGAAAUCUUGUAAUCCUUGAAGGACCACCAGUGGCGAAGGCGUCUCACCAGAACGGACCUGACGGCAAGGGACGAAGGCUAGGGGCACGAACCGGAUUAGAUACCCGGGUAGUCCUAGCCGUAAACGAUACUCGCUAGGUGUCGGCCACGGUGCGACCGUUGUCGGUGCCGUAGGGAAGCCGUGAAGCGAGCCACCUGGGAAGUACGGCCGCAAGGCUGAAACUUAAAGGAAUUGGCGGGGGAGCACCACAACGGGUGGAGCUUGCGGUUUAAUUGGAUUCAACGCCGGG